AACAACCGAAGCUCGCGAGCCUUGUCCUGGCUUCCCAAAUCGAAGGUCUGAGAGAAGGAUGCAAACAACCCAAACCAGGAGGAGUGGGACGGCGAGGCUGUUAGGGACAGCAUCCAGGGGCUCUUAGGUCUGCAGCUCCUGGACAGUCCGUUUCUGGCAUCCACUCCAAUCCGCCCGGACAGGCAGCUGAGAUUCCCAGAAGCACGGUGUGGCUCCAACCCGGAACAGGCUGAGUGCCUGCGCACUCAUGGGCUCGCCAAGUCCCUCCAGAAGGGCCCACGAUCUCAGACCAGCAUUAGCCCAACGGCGCCAGAGCACACAAGAGCCACGGCGUGGCGGGAACGUCCAGAGCUGCCCGGAUUUCAAACUCUCCGAAGCCCGUGCUGCUCUAGUUUCCGGGGUGGGGACAAACAGUGACUCCCCUUUCGACCUUCCCGCGCUCCAAGCUCCUCCAAGUGCGUCCGAGGCAGCCCCGGGCCAGGUCCUCAACCCACCGAGGGGCUAGCCUGGGGUUCCCACAGAGCACCUCCACUCAGCCUACCGAGCAGUCCGACUCCCAAAGAUGUCCUCGCUACCCCACCCUGAGACGUAAACUUUUGAACGCACACCUCACUCCUCCGGAGAGAAAAACAAGGUUGAUGAUAGUGACAGCGAACGGCUACCGAGCGCGCUGCGCUUUGUAACCGCGAAGGUGGGACUGCGCUUACUCCCACGUUGCGGGAAGAAGGCUGAGGCUCUGAGGACCGAGCAGUCUGGCCAGCAGGACACGUGGUCAGAGGAGAGCCUGAAGGGUCGACGCUAGAGCGUUUACUGUGUUAACCUCGGAGUUUUACGAGAACGUUUGCGGAUUACAGAGGGAGAAACUGAGGCGUGGUCGUGCCGCUGGUGGGUGGUAGAGCCGGGAGUCAUUAACAGGGGAAACUUCCAUCUAGCCGGUGCUUUCUCCACUUCCUUCUGGAUGCCUGUCAUGCUCCAUCCCGAACGUGAUUCCGACGCCCUGAGUUGUUUCUAAUUGCUUUAAUUUAUAUGCCUGCUUCCUGAAAAGAUUGUAAUCUUACUGUGCAGAACUUGUAGGAAGCGUCCAGUGAGGCCGUGCUGAAGGCAGGCUGAACAGCUCAGGGGUUGUGAGAAGUCAUGGUUUCCUACCUCCAAGCCCAAGGGUCAGCGCCUGGACCAGGGUCUCAGCGGCCGUCCCUUCUCAGCUUUGAGCCUCUCUGCCUUCCCACCAGUUCUUGCUUCAGUGGCCUCACCCUGCUAUUAAAUCAUUUAUUAUUAUAAUAACA
Long non-coding RNA from Meriones unguiculatus (Mongolian gerbil), 1283 nucleotides. RefSeq lists it as uncharacterized. The transcript is spliced from 2 exons. NCBI's taxonomy places the organism in Eukaryota, Metazoa, Chordata, Mammalia, Rodentia, Muridae. The record is from RefSeq and is a predicted model, not a curated record.